This 234-nucleotide ribosomal RNA is filed under the name uncultured bacterium. RNAcentral's name for it is "partial 16S ribosomal RNA". It matches the Rfam family "Bacterial small subunit ribosomal RNA", at positions 118 to 347 of the family's 1533-position model. The record is from RNAcentral.
UGAGCAAUCUGCCCUUCUCAUCGGAAUAAGCGUUGGAAACGACGUCUAAUGCCGAAUACGACCUCCUUUCGCAUGAUCGGAGGUGGAAAGCUCCGGCGGAGAAGGAUGAGCUCGCGGCCUAUCAGCUAGUUGGUGUGGGUAAUGGCCCACCAAGGCGACGACGGGUAGCCCGGCCUGAGAGGGUGACCGGCCACACUGGGACUGAGACACGGCCAGACCUCCGUACGGGAGCAG